RNA transcript from Pipistrellus kuhlii (Kuhl's pipistrelle), 2210 nucleotides. It is a transcript of the gene named thioredoxin domain-containing protein 3-like, with no coding region annotated. The transcript is spliced from 3 exons. The record is from RefSeq and is a predicted model, not a curated record. Lineage: Eukaryota; Metazoa; Chordata; Mammalia; Chiroptera; Vespertilionidae.
GGUACAAACUUGCUUUUGAUAGUAAGAAUUAGAAAUUACAUCUUCUAUUGAGAAUUUUUCUUGAAAUAUGGCUCCAUUAGGUUUUGAUUCUGUUUUAUAUCUCUGUGACUACAACUACUAUCAGACAUUUCUAUAGCAAAUCAUCAGGUGGGAAUGAUUCUCAUUCUUUUCCAAAGCAAAUGGAAACAAUAUCAGUUGUUACCUUAAUGUAGGCCAUAAUGAACUUGCUAUACAGGUGACAGAGUUGUGGUCCUUUUGAAUUCCUGAAACUGAACAAUAAUAUGAUUUCGACCUGGGUUUGCCUGUAACUUCUGAAGAUAUGUUGGUUUCCUACACUUUUAUGUGUACUAAACACAAUAUUUCUUUAAAAGUAUGCUAGAGUUCUUAGUACAGCUAAACAUGACUAUCAAGUUAGUGCAGGAAGUGAGAAGGUUGAUGCAAGAAAAUGAAAGAUUUCUGAGAAAAACAAAAUGAAUGCUCUUACUGAAAUGACAUCACCAGAGGGUCAAGUUUUGAAAGAUCCAUCUCUCCACAUGACAGUUAAUGAAGGAAGACAGUCUUUGGAAAUUGAAAGGCAAAGAUAAAAAUAUUUUUAGUUUAUUGCCGAGAAUAUGGAAGUCUCACAGAAAGUACUUCUUCAGGUCAUUCUUAUUUUGGAUGUGAAACAUUUUGGAUAAAACAUACAAAUGUGAUUUUCAAAAAAAGCAUUUGGAAAAAAAAAAACCCUGUAAUUUUUUUUUACACUAAUAGGAAAAAUUAUUCCAAAUAAAUCAUCAAUAGAGAAAAUGCAAGUUCUUACUUAUAGAAAUAAUGUUGAAACUGUUUAACCACAAGCUAUAGAAAUAAACAUCCGUUUGUGCUCAAGUCAGUUUAUCUGGUCCUCCAUCUUGACUACGUCACUUCAGAAACCUCUGUCCACAGCUUGAACUACUCCCCAAUUCAUCAUUCAUCCCAGGUCUCUCUUGACUGCUGUUGGUAGUAGAGCCUUGGUUAGAGCAAACUGCUCUUACUGCCUGCCCUGAUGUGGGUCACCAAGUGACCAGGGUGCCUUGGGUCUUCCACCAGAAGCAAAUCAUAGGAGGAAAAGAACAAGUACAAUUGCUCAAAUUCUGAUCUGGCCAGGUGGGCAGAAGAUACAUGAGGAAAAUGGACGCAGACACUUUCUGAGGGGAAAGUCUGAUCAGUGCUGAUGCCUCAGGUUUCAUACUGUCUAAUCAAAGGGUUUGUGGUCUUCUAAGCAUUUUGUGGUGAAACAUGGAUUCAAUCAAUGCAACCAACCCAUCAAACGCAUACUGCAUCUCAAGCGCACACUGCAGGAUGAUUCUGAUAAUCAUCUACGGCAUGGUUUUGCUUGGAGGUACUAUUGGAACAGUAUUGAUGUCACGUUUGAUGUUCAAAAGGAAGAGCCGAUCAAUGAUGGCCACUAUUGUUCUUAAUAUCAUAGUGCUGCACUCAAUCCUCUUAGUCAGCCUUCCGUUCCGCCUCAGCUAUUAUGUAUUACAUGUCUGGAAGCUUGGAUCCUUUACCUGCCGGUUGGUUAGCAGCAUAGUGUACUGUCAUAUGUACUUGACCUUUGUUUUCUAUGUGGCCAUUGUCAUAAUCCGAUUGCUCAUCUAUUUUAACAAACUCCAAAUGCAAGAGUUACAAAAGUACCAUGCGGUAGUUUUAAGCAUUUUCAUUUGGAUGGUGGGUAGCCUAAUUUUUCUGCCAAUAUUUUUUUUAUUAUAUGGCAUAGAUCCAAGUUACUCAGGAUAUCGAUGUUUUGAGUUCUACAAAGAUUUCAACCGCAGGAAAGUCAUUAUUGUGAAUUAUUCUAUGAUUGUCAUUAUGAUUACAGUGGUCAUGACCCUCUUUCUGAUACAGGUGGGUGUCAUCGUUCAACUGAUCAAGGCUCUUUCUCCUUGUGUGUGGACCCAUCAAGAGUUUAGAGCUCAAAUCAAGAGCUUCUUUUUCCUUAUAGUAAUAGUUGUCUGUUUUGUACCCCACCAUGCAUUCCGGAUACACUUUAUUCAAAAUUAUUCAGGGACAGAAAAUUCAGAGCUAGUUCUUUAUAAUGAAGUUUUUAUUGCUUUAACUACUCUCUGUUGCCUGGAUAUGCUGUGUUUCAUAGGUGGAGUUAUUCAUUAAACAAUGUUAUGUCACUUGCUUUGUAAUCAGUUUUCCAUCACUGUAACAAAAUAGUUUCAAUUAAAUGGAUUCUUCUAUGAUUU